AUGAACGCUGGCGGCGUGCCUAAUACAUGCAAGUCGAACGAGGUGCUUUUGUAGCAAUACGAGAGUAUCCUAGUGGCGAACGGGUGAGUAACGCGUUGGUGACCUGCCCCAAAGUGUGGGAUAACAGUUCGAAAGGACUGCUAAUACCGCAUGUGGUCAUCGGAUCUAGAAACCGAUGUCUAAAGCAGUAAUGCGCUUUGGGAGGGGCCUGCGUCCCAUCAGCUAGUUGGUGAGGUAACGGCUCACCAAGGCGACGACGGGUAGGGGACCUGAGAGGGUGGCCCCCCACAAUGGAACUGAAACACGGUCCAUACACCUACGGGUGGCAGCAGUAGGGAAUAUUGCACAAUGGGCGAAAGCCUGAUGCAGCAACGCCGCGUGUGCGAUGAAGGCCUUCGGGUCGUAAAGCACUUUUCUGAGAGAUGAGAAAGGACAGUAUCUCAGGAAUAAGUCUCGGCUAACUACGUGCCAGCAGCCGCGGUAACACGUAGGAGGCGAGCGUUAUCCGGAUUCACUGGGCGUAAAGCGCGUGCAGGUGGUUUGGUAAGUUGGGCGUGAAAGCUCCCGGCUCAACUGGGAGAGGUCGUCCAAUACUACCAGACUUGAGAGCAGUAGAGGAAAGUGGAAUUCCCGGUGUAGUGGUGAAAUGCGUAGAUAUCGGGAGGAACACCAGUGGCGAAGGCGACUUUCUGGACUGUUUCUGACACUCAGACGCGAAAGCUAGGGUAGUAAACGGGAUUAGAGACCCCGGUAAUCCUAGCUGUAAACGAUGUGAACUUGGCGUUGGUGGAUUAAACCCCAUCAGUGCCGAAGCUAACGCGAUAAGUUCACCGCC
This 835-nucleotide ribosomal RNA is filed under the name uncultured bacterium. RNAcentral's name for it is "bacterial SSU rRNA". It matches the Rfam family "Bacterial small subunit ribosomal RNA", at positions 29 to 873 of the family's 1533-position model. The record is from RNAcentral.